GAUGAACGCUGGUGGCGUGCCUAAUACAUGCAAGUCGAGCGAACGGACGAGAAGCUUGCUUCUCUGAUGUUAGCGGCGGACGGGUGAGUAACACGUGGAUAACCUACCUAUAAGACUGGGAUAACUUCGGGAAACCGGAGCUAAUACCGGAUAAUAUUUUGAACCGCAUGGUUCAAAAGUGAAAGACGGUCUUGCUGUCACUUAUAGAUGGAUCCGCGCUGCAUUAGCUAGUUGGUAAGGUAACGGCUUACCAAGGCAACGAUGCAUAGCCGACCUGAGAGGGUGAUCGGCCACACUGGAACUGAGACACGGUCCAGACUCCUACGGGAGGAAGCAGUAGGGAAUCUUCCGCAAUGGGCGAAAGCCUGACGGAGCAACGCCGCGUGAGUGAUGAAGGUCUUCGGAUCGUAAAACUCUGUUAUUAGGGAAGAACAUAUGUGUAAGUAACUGUGCACAUCUUGACGGUACCUAAUCAGAAAGCCACGGCUAACUACGUG
This 497-nucleotide ribosomal RNA is filed under the name uncultured bacterium. Its description in RNAcentral is "partial 16S ribosomal RNA". It matches the Rfam family "Bacterial small subunit ribosomal RNA", at positions 28 to 507 of the family's 1533-position model. The record is from RNAcentral.